UACGGAAGGCAGCAGUGGGGAAUAUUGCACAAUGGGCGCAAGCCUGAUGCAGCCAUGCCGCGUGUAUGAAGAAGGCCUUCGGGUUGUAAAGUACUUUCAGCGGGGAGGAAGGCGAUGUGGUUAAUAACCGCGUCGAUUGACGUUACCCGCAGAAGAAGCACCGGCUAACUCCGUGCCAGCAGCCGCGGUAAUACGGAGGGUGCAAGCGUUAAUCGGAAUUACUGGGCGUAAAGCGCACGCAGGCGGUCUGUUAAGUCAGAUGUGAAAUCCCCGGGCUUAACCUGGGAACUGCAUUUUGAAACUGGCAGGCUUGAGUCUCGUAGAGGGGGUGAAUUCCAGGUGUAGCGGUGAAAUGCGUAGAGAUCUGGAGGAAUACCGGUGGCGAAGGCGGCCCCUGGGACGAAGACUGACGCUCAGGUGCGAAAGCGUGGGGAGCAAAC
This 440-nucleotide ribosomal RNA is filed under the name uncultured bacterium. RNAcentral's name for it is "bacterial SSU rRNA". It matches the Rfam family "Bacterial small subunit ribosomal RNA", at positions 340 to 773 of the family's 1533-position model. The record is from RNAcentral.